CCAGUGCGCGCCCCUCCCAUUUCAGCCGGGCCGCCGCUAUCGGCUCCUUCGGUAGUCGGAGGACGUCCGGGAAGCGGCGGCUCAGCCGCUCCACCUCCGCGGCCGUGGGCCACUGAGUAACCCACGGCCCCGGCCGUGACCAAGCACCGGACUUGCCUCCGCGCCCAGGGUUGGUAAACUUACCCGGUCCUCUAGCCGCUCCCUCCGUCGUCUUCCCCAGCGGUUCCGUCGUCUUCCCCAUCGGUGCCUUCCCCUUGCGAUCCAUGGAGUUUCCCCCAAGCUGCCCGAGGAUCACAGAAAGCCGAGAAGAAACUUGCCGAUCCGGGAAGGCUUGCCGAAACCAAGUUGUUGUGCUUCACACCGCCCCGCCCGCCCGCCGUGAGUGUCACACCGGACGGCCGGAGCCUCGUCGGACGCCGAUAGAGACGCCGCCGACUAGCCGUUAAAACUUUCUCUCUCUGUAACUGGAGCUUCUCGCUCUAACUAUCCGUUACAAUCAUAGCAACCUUUCACCACAUCAGUGCCAUAUGUUCUUCUAGUCAUGUCCUUAAUAAUAGACCCAUGAACAAUUCAAUUGGAAAAAAGAAUUGUUUUUUUGUAAAAUUUGGAAAUUUAAAGCACAAAGGUAGGUAGAAAAAGUAUUCAGAUUGAUCUUACAACGGAUAGAUAUUAGAGAAAAGUUGCUUCAUAGAUUUGAUUUUGCCGAGUCGUCUUUUUAAGUUUAAUUGAACCCCAAAAAAAAGGUUUUAAAAAAAUAAAAGUUAUAGAUGAGGAUACGGUAAAAUAAAAAGUAAAAAGAGAAAAUUACAAAUUUUUUCUUAAAUUAGAAAUAAAUUAUAUUUACAUUUAAUAAUUUAAAAUUUUUAUCUGAAAUUUAUUUUUAUCUAAUUUAAUCUAUAACUUAACAAAAUAUUAAUCAAAUCGUUAAUUUUAAAUGGGAUCCAAAUGUCAUGUUAGAAAACUUUCAAAAAUAAUAAAAAUAAAUUUAAGUAAAAUAACAACAAUUUGAGGACAUAAAAAAAUAUGUGUUUUUUUUCUGCAUGAAAGCAAUUUUCAUUUUUUACGGAAGAUAAAUGGUUGAUUUUACUUGGUGUAAGUAUAGUUUUUACGGGAUGUAAAUAUAAUAAACAUAAACUUUAAAAGGGGUUUUUAUAAUAUAUUCAAAAAAAUAUUCAUUUGAUAUGUUACUGAUUACCACAUAAGAGAGUGCGCAUGCUUAUUAAUUCAGAGUAACGUGGAGAUUAUUCCAGGAAAACCUGGUUAUAGUAUACGGCAUUGUUUAUUAAGUUAGGAUGUUUGUUUCGCGUAGGAUUGCUGGUACGUAUGUAGAGAUGGGCACUGGGCCGGGCCGCCCAUGGCCCGGCACGGCCCGCUUGCUACAGUAACGGGCCGUGCCUAGCACGGCCCAUUAAAGGGGG
Molecule: long non-coding RNA, 1418 nt
Filed under: Phoenix dactylifera (date palm)
Lineage: Eukaryota; Viridiplantae; Streptophyta; Magnoliopsida; Arecales; Arecaceae
Description: long non-coding RNA (PDAC_LNC009080)
Source: RNAcentral